GGUCGAACCUCGAACCGCUAACAAAUGCGGUUCGAACAGAACCUAUAACCGGAAGAUUGGAAAAUCGGAGUUGGAUCGUUGAACCGGCCGGGAACCGGUCGGUCGAACCGAACCGUGACCCGGCCGGUUUUUGAAUUUUUCCAACAACGUUUCCUUCGUGCAACCCUAACACCCUAAGUUCCCUAACCGUUACCCCUCCAGACUCCAGAGUCUUCCUUCUACUCUCACAACGCGAAGCAGCACUCCCUCGAGCUUCUCCAGUCCUCCGUCGUCUCAACGCCAUCGAAGCCAUCGGCGCAACUUCCGUCCUUCCACCGUCGCCGUUGCAACUUCGAGCUUCGAAGCCACCAUCGUGACUUCCUUCCCCUCUCAUCUUCGAUCUUCAAACGCAGAAAAGAGGCAGCCCUAAGCCUCCGUGUCCUCGCCCUUCUUCAAGCUGUCCAGCCACCGCAGGGGAGGAGAGAGCCUCUGCUGCGCGCCGCCGUGCCUCCAUCGCUGCCAAUCCAUCACCGCCGCUGCUAGGGUUUGUUGGAGCUGCGCAAAGCCAUCGUCGUCGCUGUCACGUGAGGAAGGAAGCGAGAGAGACCGAAGCUGCGAGAGAGGAGAAGUCACCCCCGCCGAAAGCCGCUGCUGAAGACCCCAUGAUAAAAGCGUGUUUUCGACAUGAAGGAAAAGACAAAAACUACUUCUACUCUCAAGCGCAUUUUAGUGAAUUGUACAUCUCAGGCAAAAGCAUAUGGGAGCUGUGUUGCAUCCAAGGUUCCAGAGAUUGAACGUGAUGUCUGUGCAAAGGAGUUUCUGGCAUUAAAAAGUUGUAUGCAGAAUACGUUGAAAAAGAAGGUUUAAGCUCGCACUAAAUAGCUUAGUGUUUAUGAAGAGAAGCAUUUAGAGAAGAAUUUUGCUGCCAUCAGUCUAAGAGGAAGGUCCAAUAGUUGGACAUAGCACAGUGAAAGAGGACUCAGCAACAUGGCUGGAAAAGCAUCAACAUCAAAACCUAAUAUAGGUCUCAGCGGCACUGGUGGCCUUUCACAUGCUUACAUUCAGUAUCCACCAUUUCGGUGCAAUGUUCCUGGAUCAAAGGGAUUGUUUUAUGAUGAUGGAAACAAAUUGCUACUCUCUCCAACAGCUGAUCAAGUGUUUUCAUGGAAAGUUGUUCCCUUUGAUCCUCUUAUUGAUCCCACCACUGAUUCAAUAAGUGAGGGGCCUAUUUUAGCUAUUCGAUACUCUUUAGACACAAAGGUUAUCGCGAUCCAACGAUCGAACCAUGAGAUACAAUUUCAGAUCAGAGAGACAAGGGAAACUUUUAGCCAUAAGUGCAGGCCAGAAUCAGAAAGCAUACUUGGUUUUUUUUGGACUGAUAGCCAACAAUGUGAUAUUGUAAUUGUUAAGACCAGUGGUCUAGACUUGUAUGCAUAUAAUUCAGCCUCUAAAUCACUUCAAUUGGUCGAAACAAAGAAAAUCAAUGUGAGUUGGUACGUUUACACACAUGAAAGUCGGUUGGUUCUUCUUGCUUCUGGAAUGCAGUGCAAGACAUUCCAUGGAUUUCAGAUUUCAUCUGCAGAUAUUGUUCGCUUGCCAAGGUUUGACAUGGUUAUGGCCAAAUCUGAGGCCAAUAGUAAGCCUGUUUUAGCUGCUGAAGACAUCUUUAUUAUCACUGUUUAUGGUAGGAUAUAUUGCUUGCAAGUUGAUAGAGUUGCUAUGCUACUCCAUUCAUAUAGGCUAUAUCGUGAUGCUGUGAUUCAGCAGGGUUCUCUACCAAUAUAUUCCAGCAGGGUUGCUGUGAGUGUGGUUGACAAUGUACUUCUUAUCCAUCAAAUUGAAGCAAAGGUUGUCAUACUUUAUGAUCUCUUUGCAGAUUCUCGAGCUCCGAUAUCUGCACCCCUUCCUUUAUUGCUAAGAGGUUUUCCUAGGUCCAGUACUACUACAUCUCAAUCUAGUGGUAGAGAAAGUCACAGUUCAUACAGUAACGUGAGUAAUCAUGAAGCAGUUACCUAUGCCGAUUCAUGGACUUUUCUAGUGCCUGACCUUGUAUGUGAUGUGACCAACAAGUUAUUAUGGAAGUUUCAUUUAGACUUAGAGGCAAUUUCUGCCAGUAUCUCAGAGGCCCCAUCAAUAUUAGAGUUCCUGCAGCGGAGGAAGUUGGAAGCUAACAAGGCAAAACAAUUGUGCUUAGGUAUAAUUCAAACACUUAUUCUGGAGCAUAGGCCUGUACCUGUAGUUGCCAAAGCUAUACACGUAGUGGUUACCUCAUACUCUCAUUCAAUUAAGACUGGUAGCUAUCUUAAGGGCCUGAAGCCAGAGAAGCCAUCGGCAUCUAGUGUACAAAAUGCUGGUGCUGAUGUAUCUGCUGUAGGAACAAAUGCAAUUGGAAAAUCAAUUGCACGUGAAUCCGAUGCAAGGGUGGACAGAGGAUCUUCUAGUAAAGCUUUAAGUCUGGAUUCUGAGGAUGAGUCCCGUACUGCAAAUCCAAAACACAAUUCAAAGGAGACCCAAGUUGGGGAUGAAGUGAACGAUGAGAACUCCUCUGGCACUGAAGUUCAUAAUGCUUAUGUUACGCAAUCAUCUCUGCAGCUUGGGCAAGAGGAAUCCCAACUCGCCUCCGCAGCAAUUUCACCAGAUGAGAUGUACAGCUUUGUCUUUUCUCCCAUUGAUGAAGAGAUGGUUGGAGACCCUUCUUACUUGGUUGCCAUCAUUAUUGAAUUCCUUCACAGUGCAAAUGUGGAAAAGAUUCGAGCACUCCCAAAUCUGUAUGUAUUGAUAAUUCAAUUGCUGGUCCGCAAUGAACGAUAUGCAGAACUUGGGUUGUUUGUCAUAAACAAGACUGUCUUUGUAACAGAUUUUGGAGCCCUCUAAGGAAGUUGCACUACAGCUCCUAGAGUCUGGUCGUCAGAAUACGCAAACUAGGAAGCUUGGACUGGACAUGCUGAGACAGCUUGGUCUACAUCAUGAUUAUGUGAUGCUGCUACUGCAAGAUGGAUACCACAUGGAAGCAUUACGAUAUGCACGGAAAUUCAAGGUGGAUAGCAUCCGGCCGGCAUUGUUCUUGGAAGCAGCAUUUGUUUCCAAUGACAGUCAACGUCUUGCUGCAGUUCUAAGGUUCUUUAUAGAUUUCCUUCCUGGCUUCAAGAACACCUUAGACCAUAAUAGAUACCUCCGCAUACUGAAUGAGAUGAACACAUCCAUGACUGCUUGAGAAGUCUUUAUAGAAACUAAUAAAAACUGUAUCUUAGGGAAAAUUUUGGGCCGUAUUCUCAUUUGGUACCUUUUUCAAGUAUGGGGUUAUCUCGUUAAAGUUGAUGUUGAUAUCUACAAGAUAUGUGAUGGAUUCUAGCAAUAGAUUCAUGUUGUAUGUUAAGCUGCGUUUGCAAGAAAAACUGAGAUUGAGAAAUAGAUACUAAGAGACAAAUACUAAAUUUAGUCCGUGUUUGGUGUAAAAUGUACACGAAUGAGUUAUGUCUAAGUUUCAUGAUUAGUUUAAGAUAAAUAUAGAUAUUGAGGGGUAAAUUUGAAAUUUGAAAAGUUAAAUAAGAGUAUUUUUGAAAAGAAAUAUUAAAAUUUCAGUUUCUGUUCCUAGAAAUUUUAGUUUCAGUCUCUAAUGACCAAACACUAUACUCAGUCUUUAGUUUCAAUCCCUGGAAACAAAUGUAGUCUUAAUGUCUCAAAGAGGACCAAUUUUGAUUUAAAUGAAGUACUCUCUUUUCUUUUAUUCUUUUA
Molecule: RNA transcript, 3714 nt
Organism: Arachis ipaensis
Lineage: Eukaryota; Viridiplantae; Streptophyta; Magnoliopsida; Fabales; Fabaceae
Gene name: C18orf8
Source: RefSeq, a predicted model, not a curated record